AAACUAACAAGGAUUCCCCUAGUAGCGGCGAGCGAAGCGGGAAGAGCUCAAAUUUAUAAUCUGGCACCUUCGGUGUCCGAGUUGUAAUCUCUAGAAGUGUUUUCCGCGUUGGACCGCACACAAGUCUGUUGGAAUACAGCGGCAUAGUGGUGAAACCCCCGUAUAUGGUGCGGACGCCCAGCGCUUUGUGAUACACUUUCAAUGAGUCGAGUUGUUUGGGAAUGCAGCUCAAAUUGGGUGGUAAAUUCCAUCUAAAGCUAAAUAUUGGCGAGAGACCGAUAGCGAACAAGUACCGUGAGGGAAAGAUGAAAAGCACUUUGGAAAGAGAGUUAACAGUACGUGAAAUUGUUGGAAGGGAAACGCUUGAAGUCAGACUUGCUUGCCGGAGCUUGCUUCGGUUUGCAGGCCAGCAUCAGUUUUCCGGGGUGGAUAAUGACGGUUUGAAGGUAGCAGUCUCGGCUGUGUUAUAGCUUUCCGUUGGAUACGCCCUGGGGGACUGAGGAACGCAGCGUGCUUUUUGCGAAAGACUCGUCUUUUUCACGCUUAGGAUGCUGG
This 555-nucleotide ribosomal RNA is filed under the name Rhodotorula diobovata. Its description in RNAcentral is "eukaryotic LSU rRNA". It matches the Rfam family "Eukaryotic large subunit ribosomal RNA", at positions 62 to 629 of the family's 3401-position model. Lineage: Eukaryota; Fungi; Basidiomycota; Microbotryomycetes; Sporidiobolales; Sporidiobolaceae. The record is from RNAcentral.